GACGAACGCUGGCGGCGUGCUUAACACAUGCAAGUCGAACGGAAAGGCCCUGCUUUUGUGGGGUGCUCGAGUGGCGAACGGGUGAGUAACACGUGAGUAACCUGCCCUUGACUUGGGGAUAACUUCAGGAAACUGGGGCUAAUACCGGAUAGGUGCUCCUGCUGCAUGGUGGGGGUUGGAAAGUUUCGGCGGUUGGGGAUGGACUCGCGGCUUAUCAGCUUGUUGGUGGGGUAGUGGCUUACCAAGGCUUUGACGGGUAGCCGGCCUGAGAGGGUGACCGGCCACAUUGGGACUGAGAUACGGCCCAGACUCCUACGGGAGGCAGCAGUGGGGAAUAUUGCACAAUGGGCGGAAGCCUGAUGCAGCAACGCCGCGUGCGGGAUGACGGCCUUCGGGUUGUAAACCGCUUUCGCCUGUGACGAAGCGUGAGUGACGGUAAUGGGUAAAGAAGCACCGGCUAACUACGUG
RNAcentral lists this ribosomal RNA (468 nucleotides) under uncultured bacterium. Its description in RNAcentral is "partial 16S ribosomal RNA". It matches the Rfam family "Bacterial small subunit ribosomal RNA", at positions 28 to 507 of the family's 1533-position model. The record is from RNAcentral.